GGUACUACACUUCCCAGUCUUUAACCCUUGUGGCUUUGUAGUUCUUUGCAUGUUCCGUAAUAUAAGAAGAAUCUAGAGAUUUAUGCAAUUUUCUUCAUUGUCAUGUGCAGUCAUUUGGAGCAGACAGAAAAGAACUCAAAGUCACACUUACUUAAACCUUGUUCCGUAGGAGAUGAAGGUUCUCAAUAAAUGCACUCACAAUUCUCGAGUCUUGCUACCAAAUCAUUUCUGGUUUACAUUUUCAUUUCAAGUGAACAGCCAUUGCUUUUUGCUUAAGCUUUUUUGCCAUUUUUAAAUACACUUCAACAACAUUGUUACUGACACAGAAGCAAUAAGCUUUGGAUCUUAUGAGUCUUUCUCUAUGUGUGAAUGAUAAGAGAAGCAAGAAGAGAGCAGUUCAGAAAAUAUCUCAUCUUCUUUGUAUGUGUUAAAAAGGAUCGUGACGUGUGAGUUCAAAAAUCAUCAAGAACCCGUGUUUAAUAUCGUCAUCUACAACUACAAAUGACAUAUUUAAAGUUAGAAUAGACAAAUGGAGACAGAUGGUAGCAAUAAAGCCUCAUGAAUUCUUAUUAUCUUUGCUUCUACUACAAGUCCUUUUUUCUAUCACACACCAAAUCCUACUGAACCGGUAAACUUAAUGACGCACUCACUCUUUUAGUUUUCUUGUGACUACUAAUCACCAAUAAGAAACGUUGAUUCAUUCUCUUUUUUCUUUCUUAACCCGGUAUUUGUUUCUCCAUAUAUAUACAUUGGUGGUGUGAAAUAAAAACAUGGGUUGCUCAAGGACUCAAUCAUUUGUUGUUUUCUGAGAAAUACUACUCUCUUUAAGAAACUCUAUCUUGCAUGUAAUUAUUUUCUCUAUGCUGUAAGAAACGGUUAUGUAUACUGAUUUAGCCAGAGUGGAUCAUGCCAUGAUUAACAAGCUUCUAGUGAUAAUUCUAAUAAAGUUUACUUUGGUUGACGCUAAUAUUCUAGUGGAGUUUGAGGUAAACCUACAUGUUUAGUUCAGGCUUCAACCAAUUUGUUGCACUUUAGCCACCAAAACCCAAAACAUCUUGGAUAUGAGUUUUGGAUCUUGUGAAUUAAAUCACAAAGCAUAUUGGAUUCUUAUGAACCAUCCUCUACAUAGUGAUAAGACCAAACAAACCAUUGCGUUUUCUUGCAGAUCCUUGAGAAGGACACUUUACAAUAUCAUGGUCACUCUAUAUACACUUCAACAUUUGUGAUUGACACGAAGCAAAUAUCAAUCUUUCUCUUUGAGAAGAAGCAAGAAGAGAGCAGUUAAGAAAAGAUCACCAUCUUCUUUGUCUGAUAAAAGAAUGUCGACACGUGAAGACAAAAUCAUCAAGGACCCGUGUUUAAUUAGUUAUCUACAACUACAAAUGACACAUUAAAAUUUUAAAAACUUAUAAAUGAAAAAAGGAACCUACUUCUUCGUCGGUAGCAAUAAAACCAUAUGAAUGCUCAUGUCCCUACCACCUAACUUCAAUUAUUGUUGCUUUUACUACAAGUCCCUUUCUCAUCCUCCACAUCAACACACCAAACCCUAACGAACCGGUAAAUUCAAUGACGCACUCAACUCUUUUUUUUUCCUUGCUUUUCUUAAUAUAUAAUUUGGAUUUCUUGUAACUACUAAUCACUAUCAAGUAACGUUGAUUCAUUCUCCCUUUCUUUAAUCCGACAUUUGGUUUUCUAUAGGCCUUUAGGAACCUACCUAACCAUACUUAGUUUGACAAGUUUAUAGAGUGUUCCAGUGUCUAACAAUUCAAGAAUAUUCCAAACGUAUUCGACGAAAAUCUUAAAUCGUGUUCUCUUCUCAGUUCUCAUACCCUAGAAAAAGUCCGAAGCACAUCACAUAGAAAGUGAAUAUAUAUAAAUUUUCUAUAUAUUAUAUGGCUACGUCGAGCAAGAGCUGCACUACCCAAUGGGAAUAUUCGCUAUAAUUGGCUCAGUAGUCGCUACCAGCAGCCCCAUUUUAAAAUACAAACAAGAGAACAAAAUUUAAUUUAAUAUCCUAAAUGAAAUCUUGCCGACAAAAGAUUUAUCCUAAUAAAAUUUCGGAUUUAUGUCUUUCUUUUUUUCUUUCAGCUAAAAUAUAUAUUUGCCCUUUUUUAACUACGAAUGAAUGCACACGAGCGGUGAAACGCAUAAAACCAGAAUGAUAACCUUUUUUGGUAAUAUUUCUAUAAAUUGUGUUUUCUCAAUGCUUUGAUCUGUCAACAAGUUUUACAGCUUUAAUUCUUGAUUCCUUUGUUUUCGGUCCUUGGCUUCUCUGAAAUGGAACAUAAUACAAUAUGACUCUUUGAGCAUAUUUGUUAGCAACGCAUCUAUAAGCAUAUAUUUGAAUAUUAUAAUCGAUUCUGCACCUAGUGAUUUGACCCAACAAACCGUCGCUAUUAACUUUGCAGGUCCUUGAGAUGGACACCUACAGAUACCACGGUCACUCUAUGUCUGACCCAGGAAGUACCUACCGUACACGUGACGAAGUCUCCGGCGUGAGACAGGUUAGUUCUUUGUUUCAUUUGUAAGAACACUGCUCCAAAGCGUCAGAAAAUUUUAAUAUGUAAAUUUUUCAUUGGUGGUGUUACCUUUUAGGUGCGUGAUCCUAUUGAAAGGGUGCGGAAGUUGCUCUUAUCUCAUGACAUAGCUACAGAAAAAGAGCUCAAGGUACUCUUUUUUCUCCACCUUCACAUCCUCCACAUACAAACAUAAUCAUCAUUUCCAUAUGCAAAUGACAAUCCUCUCUUGACUUAAAAGGACAUGGAGAAAGAAGUGAGGAAAGAAGUAGAUGACGCCGUAGCUCAGGCCAAGGUAAUAUAAUCUCAUGGCUCUUUCUACCUUUGUCUUUGUUAUUCAUAUAUCAAAAGCAUUUAUACAAAUCCCUAUUCGUUAAAAUUGUUUCAGGAGAGCCCCGUACCAGAGCCAUCUGAGCUAUUCACAAACAUGUACGUCAAAGACUGCGGAGUUGAGGUACUACACUUCCCAGUCUUUAACCCUUGUGGCUUUGUAGUUCUUUGCAUGUUCCGUAAUAUAAGAAGAAUCUAGAGAUUUAUGCAAUUUUCUUCAUUGUCAUGUGCAGUCAUUUGGAGCAGACAGAAAAGAACUCAAAGUCACACUUACUUAAACCUUGUUCCGUAGGAGAUGAAGGUUCUCAAUAAAUGCACUCACAAUUCUCGAGUCUUGCUACCAAAUCAUUUCUGGUUUACAUUUUCAUUUCAAGUGAACAGCCAUUGCUUUUUGCUUAAGCUUUUUUGCCAUUUUUAAAUACACUUCAAC
This 3276-nucleotide long non-coding RNA is filed under the name Brassica napus (rape). Its description in RNAcentral is "long non-coding RNA (BNAP_LNC020000)". The record is from RNAcentral. Lineage: Eukaryota; Viridiplantae; Streptophyta; Magnoliopsida; Brassicales; Brassicaceae.